UAACAAAGCAGCCUACCAUCUACACACCAUACAGUACCUUGGAGUAUAUGUAAACUAACCCGUGGUGUAUGAAUAUGCUAAUUAUUCAGUAGCGGCUCGAACGGUAGGAUGUGUACUUCUCCGAGCCCAUCAGAAGGUAAGGGUUAAUGAGUUUGCUGUGGCAUAUUGUGUGGAUCUGAGAGCGUUCUGGUGGUCCACGAGUUCACACACUUUGGUGAGGCGGUGACACUCGUGAGUCAUUUGCGCUGCGCUCUCAGGAGUGACAGCUGAUGCCCGCUCAUGGACCACUGCAUAAACACCACAGGAUCUGUCCACGAUACACCUGACCACCGACACAUCUCCGGCCGCGUGCUGUUUCCGCCUCUCUCCGCAUUACGCAUUACUCUUAGUUAUUUGCCAUGCCAAGCUGGAGGAGAAACCUGACUUUUUGCCUGCAGAGAAUGCAUGACGAAGGGUUUUGUAUGCAGGUUCAGUCAGUGCUACCUUCUUCCAUUUUGCUAACAUUUCAAGAUGCCAAUUUCAGUAAUAUCCAUCAGAACAAAAAGACACAUAACUGGCAACAUUGAGUCUAAAGUGUAAGUUACUCAGUAUUUUAUUGUACUUAUUGGAGUUUUAUGUAAAUUAUUGCUUGAUGAACAUUGUUUGCAUUAAGCGGAAAGUUUGGCUAAGCUACUCUUUUGUUGUUAUUUGUAAAACACUUCAGCUAUUGUUCUUGUUAUUUUCAGAAACUCGCUGUGCUCAUCUUCCUAUCUCAACCCAAGCUCUACAGCAC
This 772-nucleotide long non-coding RNA is filed under the name Sinocyclocheilus anshuiensis. RNAcentral's name for it is "lncRNA (ENSSANG00000046905.1)". Lineage: Eukaryota; Metazoa; Chordata; Actinopteri; Cypriniformes; Cyprinidae. The record is from RNAcentral.